AUUGAACGCUGGCGGCAUGCCUUACACAUGCAAGUCGAACGGCAGCACGGGAGCUUGCUCCUGGUGGCGAGUGGCGAACGGGUGAGUAAAGCAUCGGAACGUGCCCUGAAGUGGGGAUAACGUAGCGAAAGUUACGCUAAUACCGCAUAUUCUGUGAGCAGGAAAGCAGGGGAUCUUCGGACCUUGUGCUUUAGGAGCGGCCGAUGUCGGAUUAGCUAGUUGGUGAGGUAAAGGCUCACCAAGGCGACGAUCCGUAGCGGGUCUGAGAGGAUGAUCCGCCACACUGGGACUGAGACACGGCCCAGACUCCUACGGGAGGCAGCAGUGGGGAAUUUUGGACAAUGGGCGCAAGCCUGAUCCAGCCAUGCCGCGUGAGUGAAGAAGGCCUUCGGGUUGUAAAGCUCUUUCGGCGGGGAAGAAAUUGCACUCUCUAAUACAGGGUGUAGAUGACGGUACCCGCAUAAGAAGCACCGGCUAACUACGUG
This 485-nucleotide ribosomal RNA is filed under the name uncultured bacterium. RNAcentral describes it as "bacterial SSU rRNA". It matches the Rfam family "Bacterial small subunit ribosomal RNA", at positions 30 to 507 of the family's 1533-position model. The record is from RNAcentral.